AUGGUGAAACUGAUAGCUUCUUAUGAUGAGGAGGUUGGUGCUGUUGUACUAGGUAAUGCUCCAGGAAAUGCAAAGUAUACUUCACCAACUAUUCAAAAAGAAAUCCUGCAUAUUAUGGCUUGUGACGUGCAAAGUUCAAUCCGUAAUGAAAUUGGUGAUGCCAAGUAUUGCUUGCUUGUCGAUGAAUCAAGAGAUGAAUCUAAAAGAGAGCAAAUGGCCCUUGUUCUCCGUUUUGUUGAUAAACAAGGUUUCAGUCGAGAGCACUUUUUCGAUCUUGUUCAUGUUAAAGAUACAUCUUCAGCAACUUUGAAACAAGAAAUAGAUUUUGUUUUGUCUCGACAUGACUUGGAUAUUCAAAAUAUUCGGGGACAAGGAUUUGAUGGUGCUAGUAAUAUGCGUGGAGAGUGGAAUGGUCUACAAGCCAAGUUCAUGGAAGAGUGUCCAUACGCAUACUAUGUUCAUUGUUUUGCUCAUCAGCUCCAAUUAGAUCUUGUUGGUGCAUCUAAAGAAGUAAUCGAAGUCCAUAAUUUUUUUGAUCACCUUGCUCUUGUUGUCAAUACUGUUGUGUCUUCUAGCAAGAGAAAUGAUGAGUUGCAUGCUAAUCAAGUGGCUGAAAUGGAGCAUCUCAUUGAGCUUAGUGAGCUUCAAACAGGAAGUGGAGCAAACCAGAUUGGAACUUUGCGGCGGCCUUGUGACACUAGAUGGAGUUCUCACUAUGGUUCAGUUUGUAGCCUCUUGAAGCUUUAUGGUCCUACAUUUUUGGUACUAAAAAUGUUGCUACUACUAGUGGGUCUGGUUCUUCACCUUCUGCACGAGCUAAGGCUGCUGGUGCUGUUAAGUUGA
Molecule: ribosomal RNA, 843 nt
Filed under: Triticum aestivum (bread wheat)
Lineage: Eukaryota; Viridiplantae; Streptophyta; Magnoliopsida; Poales; Poaceae
Description: partial small subunit ribosomal RNA
Source: RNAcentral